RNAcentral lists this transfer RNA (71 nucleotides) under Camelus bactrianus (Bactrian camel). It matches the Rfam family "tRNA". From Rfam's summary of the family: Transfer RNA (tRNA) molecules are approximately 80 nucleotides in length. Their secondary structure includes four short double-helical elements and three loops (D, anti-codon, and T loops). RNAcentral also lists the same sequence under 2 other names. The record is from Rfam by way of RNAcentral. Lineage: Eukaryota; Metazoa; Chordata; Mammalia; Artiodactyla; Camelidae.
GAGGAUAUAGCUCAGUGGUGGAACAUGUGCCUAGCAUGCAUGAGGUCCUGGGUUCAAUCCCCAGUACCUCU